Molecule: ribosomal RNA, 575 nt
Filed under: uncultured bacterium
Lineage: Bacteria
Description: bacterial SSU rRNA
Rfam family: Bacterial small subunit ribosomal RNA
Source: RNAcentral
GGCUUCCGGAGCUAACGCGUUAAAUCGACCGCUGGGGAGUACGGCCGCAAGGUUAAAACUCAAAUGAAUUGACGGGGGCCCGCACAAGCGGUGGAGCAUGUGGUUUAAUUCGAUGCAACGCGAAGAACCUUACCUGGUCUUGACAUCCAGGUGCUGCAUGGCUGUCGUCAGCUCGUGUUGUGAAAUGUUGGGUUAAGUCCCGCAACGAGCGCAACCCUUAUCCUUUGUUGCAACUCAAAGGAGACUGCCAGUGAUAAACUGGAGGAAGGUGGGGAUGACGUCAAGUCAUCAUGGCCCUUACGACCAGGGCUACACACGUGCUACAAUGGCAUAUACAAAGAGAAGCGACCUCGCGAGAGCAAGCGGACCUCAUAAAGUAUGUCGUAGUCCGGAUUGGAAUCUGCAACUCGACUCCAUGAAGUCGGAAUCGCUAGUAAUCGUAGAUCAGAUGCUACGGUGAAUACGUUCCCGGGCCUUGUACACACCGCCCGUCACACCAUGGGAGUGGGUUGCAAAAGAAGUAGGUUACCACUUUGUGAUUCAUGACUGGGGUGAAGCGUAACAAGUAACCAAGG